This 522-nucleotide ribosomal RNA is filed under the name uncultured bacterium. RNAcentral's name for it is "bacterial SSU rRNA". It matches the Rfam family "Bacterial small subunit ribosomal RNA", at positions 373 to 885 of the family's 1533-position model. The record is from RNAcentral.
GGACGAAAGUCUGACGGAGCAACGCCGCGUGUAUGAUGAAGGUCUUCGGAUUGUAAAGUACUGUCUUUGGGGAAGAACGGUGGCUUUGAAAAUAUUGAGGCCACAUGACGGUACCCAAGGAGGAAGCCCCGGCUAACUACGUGCCAGCAGCCGCGGUAAUACGUAGGGGGCAAGCGUUGUCCGGAAUUAUUGGGCGUAAAGGGCGCGUAGGCGGAUUGUUAAGUCCGGUGUGAAAGAUCAGGGCUCAACCCUGAGAGUGCAUCGGAAACUGGGAAUCUUGAGGACAGGAGAGGAAAGUGGAAUUCCACGUGUAGCGGUGAAAUGCGUAGAUAUGUGGAGGAACACCGGUGGCGAAGGCGACUUUCUGGACUGUAACUGACGCUGAGGCGCGAAAGCGUGGGGAGCAAACAGGAUUAGAUACCCUGGUAGUCCACGCCGUAAACGAUGAGUGCUAGGUGUAGAGGGUAUCGACCCCUUCUGUGCCGCAGUUAACACAAUAAGCACUCCGCCUGGGGAGUACGG